GACGAACGCUGGCGGCGUGCCUAAUACAUGCGAGUAGAACGCUGAAGAGAGGAGCUUGCUCUUCUUGGAUGAGUUGCGAACGGGUGAGUAACGCGUAGGUAACCUGCCUUGUAGCGGGGGAUAACUAUUGGAAACGAUAGCUAAUACCGCAUAACAAUGGAUGACACAUGUCAUUUAUUUGAAAGGGGCAAUUGCUCCACUACAAGAUGGACCUGCGUUGUAUUAGCUAGUAGGUGAGGUAAUGGCUCACCUAGGCGACGAUACAUAGCCGACCUGAGAGGGUGAUCGGCCACACUGGGACUGAGACACGGCCCAGACUCCUACGGGAGGCAGCAGUAGGGAAUCCUCGGCAAUGGGGGCAACCCUGACCGAGCAACGCCGCGUGAGUGAAGAAGGUUUUCGGAUCGUAAAGCUCUGUUGUAAGUCAAGAACGGGUGUGAGAGUGGAAAGUUCACACUGUGACGGUAGCUUACCAGAAAGGGACGGCUAACUACGUG
Molecule: ribosomal RNA, 497 nt
Filed under: uncultured bacterium
Lineage: Bacteria
Description: partial 16S ribosomal RNA
Rfam family: Bacterial small subunit ribosomal RNA
Source: RNAcentral